RNAcentral lists this transfer RNA (71 nucleotides) under Marmota monax (woodchuck). It matches the Rfam family "tRNA". From Rfam's summary of the family: Transfer RNA (tRNA) molecules are approximately 80 nucleotides in length. Their secondary structure includes four short double-helical elements and three loops (D, anti-codon, and T loops). Further hydrogen bonds mediate the characteristic L-shaped molecular structure. tRNAs have two regions of fundamental functional importance: the anti-codon, which is responsible for specific mRNA codon recognition, and the 3' end, to which the tRNAs corresponding amino acid is attached (by aminoacyl-tRNA synthetases). tRNAs cope with the degeneracy of the genetic code in two manners: having more than one tRNA (with a specific anti-codon) for a particular amino acid; and 'wobble' base-pairing, i.e. permitting non-standard base-pairing at the 3rd anti-codon position. Lineage: Eukaryota; Metazoa; Chordata; Mammalia; Rodentia; Sciuridae. The record is from Rfam by way of RNAcentral.
GUGGCUGUGGCUCAACGGUAGAGCACUUGCCUAGCAAGUGUGAGGCCCUGGGUUCAAUCCUCAGCACCACA